Artibeus jamaicensis (Jamaican fruit-eating bat) is the source of this 3316-nucleotide long non-coding RNA. RefSeq lists it as uncharacterized. Lineage: Eukaryota; Metazoa; Chordata; Mammalia; Chiroptera; Phyllostomidae. The transcript has 6 exons. The record is from RefSeq and is a predicted model, not a curated record.
GGAAGACUCCUGGGGGUUGUGGGAAGGAUUAAUUUAUUCCCUCAAAAAGAGACUUCCAAGGGUAAGGCCAUGGUUCUUGGAGGGCACCGUGCGUCCUGGCAUCACACUGCGACACAGUGGAGCAGAAGGUGGGGGAAAGGCUGGGUCCCUGACAACGCAGUUGAGAAGCUGCCCCGGCCCUGGCACCGCCCUCUCCCAGACCUCCGUUUUGCCGGAGUCAGACUUCCCCGUUAUCCAGUCCACUUCUAGUUGGGCAUCUUGUUGCUUGCAACCCAAAGCCUGCUAAAAUACAGGACCCCAUGGGGAGAUCAUGAUGGGGAGACCUAAUUUCUGAUCUUAAAGAGCCCAAGCUCCCUGAGGCAGGGUCACUGUCCCUUUGUAUCUCCAUCCCUGGGACCCAGCACAGUGCCCGGCACAGCGGACACCCGGUAAGAGAAACGAAGGAGCUGGGGCGAGGCUGUAGGACACUCUUACCACAGACGAUUCGGCCCUUCCGAAAAUUUGGGCGCAAACACACACACGGAGGACGCCCCCUUCUGGUGGACGUGAAGAUGUCGGCAGGGAUUGGGGCGACGUUUCUGUACACCGAGAAACACCGAGGGUUGCUGGGAAGCCACCAGAAGUGAUCCAUGUCUCCUCGGGUGAGCUCACGGCGUGGAUGGGAGCCGCUGGCUCAGUCCUGCCGAAGGUGCGCCCCUGGUGAUGGGAGCAGUGAUGACGUCUUCGUGGUUCCAGGAGCAGCUUCCCGUCGUGGCGGAAGCAGCAGCUCCCUUGGCAGAGCCGUUCUGUGACGUGACUCUGGGAAUGUGUUUUUGGAAACUCGCCCUGUGUUCUCAGGACUCCCAGUGAUUCUGCAGGAUGCAUUGCCCUUCUAGAGCGUGCUUUGGUCCAUUUUCCACUGUGAAAAAAAAACACUGGCACCCAGCGUGGCGACCACACGUUGGCUCCGCCCUGGCCUGCCUGCUGCCCUCCGGCCAUCACUCUCUCUGCAGUUACUGACCUGGGCUUCCUCCUCUUGCUCAAGAUAACAGAUGACAGAAGGUGGCACGUAGGACUCUCGGACUUUGUCUGUUUGCCUGUCUUGCUACACCAUGAGUCUAGCCCAUAUACCAGCAGCACUGGGAUCAUGAGGAAACUUGUUAGAAAUGUUAGAAAAAAUCUCAAGACUCAUCACAGACAUGUGGAUUAUAAUCUGCAAGUUAACAAGAUCCCAGGGCGACAUGCAGGCGCAGGAAGAUGUGAGAAGCGCUGCUCUGGAGAAGGAACACCAGUCGGACACAAAACAGGCCCCGGAGGAAGAAAGAGAAUAAAAUAUUUACUGUGCUUGCAUCAUAGCCAAGAAUGUAUGUAAUCAUGUAAAAACAUUUAUUACAGUAUUGGUCCUUUUUAAAUUAAUAGGCUUUGGGUUUGGGGGGGCUAGUUUUAGAUUUACAGAAGAAUUGUACAGAAUUCCUGUAUAUUUUCCUCCCAAUCGGGACACACAGUCUCCCCUCCUGUAAACAUCUUGCACUGGUUUGGUACUCUUGUUACAAUGAAUGAAUUCAUAUUGAUACAUUAUUUUUAACUGAAGUCCAUAACUCAAAUUAUUUAAGAUGGGUACUCUGUGCAUGGGUUUUGACAAAUGCAUAAUGUCGCGUAUCUACGGUCACUGUUCCUUGCAGACUAGUUUUCCACUGCCCUAAAUUCUCCUGUGGUUCACCUGCUCAUUUGCUUUCCCAUCCUGCACUCCUGGCAACCAAUGAUCUUUCUACUCUCUCCAUGGCAUUACCGUUUUCCAAAAUGACAUGCAAUCGGACUCAUGCAAUAUGUAGACUUUUCAGAGUGUUUUUUUUCACUUAGUAAUAUGCAUUUAAGGUUCCUCAGUGUGUUUUUUAAUCCUUACUUGAGGACAUUUUUUUUAUUGCUUUUAGGGAGAGGGGAAGGGAGAGAAACAAGCAUUAAUGCAAGAGAGAAGCAUUGAUUGGUUGCCUUCUGUAUACCCACAGACUGGGGAUCGAACCCACAACCUAGGUAUGUGCCAUGACUGGAAAUUGAACUUGCAACUUUCUGGUUACAGAACGACGCUCCAACCAACUGAGCCACACUGGCCAGGGCAAUAGUUCGUGUCUUUUGUCGCUGAAUAGUAUCUCACCAUAUGGAUGUACUAUAGUUCGUUUAUCUAUUUACCUAUUAAAGAACAUGUUGGUUGCUACCAGUUUCUGGUGAUUAUGAAAAAAGCUGCUGUGAACAUGCAAGUGCAGGUUUUUUUCUACAUGUGACCUUCCAACCCAGGGGAAUUGAGAAAAGGAGUGCAAUUGCUGGAUGGUAUGGUAAGACAAUACUUAGUUUUGUAAGACGCUGCCAGACCAUCUGCCAAAGUGGCUGUACCAUUUUGCACUCUUGCUAGCAAUGUAUGAAAGUUCCUGUUGCUCCACAUCUUUGUCAACAUUUGAUGUUGUCAGUGUUUUGGAUUUUAGCCAUCCUCAUAGGCCUAUGGUUGUUGUUUUAAUUUGCAUUUCCCUGAUGACAUCUGAUGUGAAGAAUCUUCUCAACUGCUUUUCACCAUCUAUAUAUCUUCUUUGGUGAGGUGUCUGUGCAAGUCUUUUGCCGUGUUUUCUUAUUACUGAGAUUUUUUUUGUGUAUUUUGGAUACAAGUCCUUUGCCAAAUAUGUGUUUGGCAAACACUUGCUGGUAGUCUGUGGCUUGUGUCUUUCACCCGGCAGAAGUUUUCAAUUAUAAUAAAGUCCAGCUUAACAAUUCUUCCCUGUUUCCACAUUCAGCUGUUUCAUGUGGGUAGCUUGAAAUCAGCCACGUGGGAGUACUUACACUUCAGAAGCUGACAAACUCUAUAAAUCAGAGUUUGUUUUUUUCUCACAAAAGUCAGUUAUAAAACAUUCGCCAGCACGCACCUACCUCCUGUUAGCCUUCUACUGAAUCAUCCGUUGGUCUGAUUCUGGCUUUCCUAAUGAUUCUAUUUUUAUGCACCAGAGAAGUUUUUUGUUUUGAGUAAAAUGUUGGCAUUUUAUUUUCCUUUGAUUUAAUUAUUCUUAUUGUUCACAUUUCCCCUCUCACAUAGGAGAGAGGGCUAUCAUCAUUUUUGUAUCUGGGUAGGAGUUCCCGAAUAAUAUAAAUUGGUAUUUUUUCUUAAUUGUUACUGUGUUGUUUAUUUAUAAAUGACUUUGAUAUUAGUGAUUAAAGUUCUGGUUAUUGAUGUGAUUUUUGUCACAAAUACACAUGUAAAAUUAAUAAUUACAAAUGAUUUGAUGAAACUAAAUUAAUAAGGAAGAAGAGCUUUGUAACUUCAGAAAUCUGAUUUUUUGAAAAUAUCUAAAAUCAU